UGCCUUUGUGUUGCCUGUUCAUUAUGUUUUUAAAUGAAUUUGGUGUCAAAAAAGGCAUACAUUAUCACUUGCAGUGACUGAAAAUGGCUUUCACAGUCAUGCUAUUGAUUAAAGUUCAUGGCAAGAACAAAU
This is a small nucleolar RNA of Chanos chanos (milkfish), 132 nucleotides long. RefSeq annotates it as small nucleolar RNA SNORA13. The record is from RefSeq and is a predicted model, not a curated record. Lineage: Eukaryota; Metazoa; Chordata; Actinopteri; Gonorynchiformes; Chanidae. The transcript has a single exon.